RNAcentral lists this ribosomal RNA (484 nucleotides) under uncultured bacterium. RNAcentral describes it as "partial 16S ribosomal RNA". It matches the Rfam family "Bacterial small subunit ribosomal RNA", at positions 30 to 507 of the family's 1533-position model. The record is from RNAcentral.
AUUGAACGCUGGCGGCAGGCCUAACACAUGCAAGUCGAGCGGAUGAAGGGAGCUUGCUCCUGGAUUCAGCGGCGGACGGGUGAGUAAUGCCUAGGAAUCUGCCUGGUAGUGUGGUAUAACGGCCGGAAACGGGCGCUAAUACGGCAUACGUCCUGAGGGAGAAAGGGUGGGAUCUUCGGACCUCACGCUAUCACAUGAGCCUAGGUCGGAUUAGCUAGUUGGUGGGGUAAAGGCCUACCAAGGCGACGAUCCGUAACUGGUCUGAGAGGAUGAUCAGUCACACUGGAACUGAGACACGGUCCAGACUCCUACGGGAGGCAGCAGUGGGGAAUAUUGGACAAUGGGCGCAAGCCUGAUCCAGCCAUGCCGCGUGUGUGAAGAAGGUCUUCGGAUUGUAAAGCCCUUUAAGUUGGGAGGAAGGGCAGUAAGUUAAUACCUUGCUGUUUUGACGUUACCAAAAGAAUAAGCACCGGCUAACUUCGUG